Hylaeus volcanicus is the source of this 3926-nucleotide long non-coding RNA. RefSeq lists it as uncharacterized. The transcript has 2 exons. NCBI's taxonomy places the organism in Eukaryota, Metazoa, Arthropoda, Insecta, Hymenoptera, Colletidae. The record is from RefSeq and is a predicted model, not a curated record.
AAUCAUCGUUUUCGAUCGUUUGUGUGCAAUAUUCGUCACAAGAAAAUUGAAGUAAAAUUCGUUUGCAUUCGUAGCGAUCCAAGAACCUUGAAAAAUCGAACUCGCGAUGAUCAGUGUUAACGGUCCCUUCGGGUUGAGAGACUCGAUGAUCGAGCAAGGUGCAAGCACAGACGUCGACCCUCUCGUUCAGGCUGUCGACGAUCGCGAGACUGCCGUACUGCCGUGUGUGUUUGCCAUGUUUACGAGUAGGACGAACGUGAACGCAUGUGAACGCAUGUGAACGCAUGCGGUCCCGAGAGUCGCGCAGCCUUUAGACUGGUUGGAAUUGCUCGUUUCGUCGAACGUAAGCUGUAAGGUUCUAACGAGUAAUUAAAAACGACUCUAGGAUUAACGAAACUAUCGGUAGAAUAAAUCUCGAGGUAAAAUGAAAUAUGUGUAAAAAAAAUCUGUAUAUAUAUAUAUAUACAUGCACGCGUAUGUGUAUGCAUAUGUAUGCGAUUGGCAGACACCGACGAGGCUCAACUACGCAAUACGUGUAAGAUGGCGGCGAGAGGAAGAGACUCGUGAACGCGUCAAGCGAAAAUCCCCUUAUGCAAGGUCAAUUCAGUAUUACAGCGUCUAGACUAUAUACAAUUGUAAAGUUUUGUUUACACGCUCCCGACGGGACCCACUGGGAACUCGUUCGUGGAUACGUGAACUACGCCUGCGUCGGUAUUCCAGUUGAGAUUCACGAUUUUCUCGACUGAAAGGCAAAUUAUUUUCAAACCAAAGAUAAACAUCGUUUGUUUCGAUGAAAACGUCUGUUACGACACCGCACACUAACAUACUGUAAAAUUACAAACGCGUCCCACUGAUUUUCAAGUAUCUUAAAAUCCAUAUCAACACAAAUUAAUGGCAACGAGUACCCGGCAGCUGGCCUUAGGAGCGUCAGAGCGACGCUAGUACGUCGUUCCUCCGCCGGCGGCGCUAGGUGCCUUCCUCGUAAGUCCCAAGUUCCAAGACCUGAGAACGAAUUCCGUCGUGGAGUUUGUCGACGCGAAUACCGACGGCGAGCGUGAACCUCGUUUCUAGCGACACAAGUGCCAGAUUCGUUCGUAGACGCUUUUCGGUUUUGCGUAGUUUGGCGUGAUUCGAGGAAGAUGAGCACGCAAGUCGACGACUUUGUUUGAUCGAAUCAUCUGAAAACAGGGUUGUACCCUUAACCCUCCGCGACCCAACGGUCCCCCUUGAUUCUUCGUUCCACGGUCCUGUAGCCACCAACGUCUAGUUUCCAGAUAUCAGUCGUGAUUCGGUUCGCAGCUUGUCUCGUUAGUGGGCCCCUUGAUUUUUCGUCAACUCGAGCGACUUGGGUCACGGAGGGCUAAGCGAACUGAACAUAUCAGAAUCUACGUAUUUUUCAUCAGAACAGAAUAUUUUUAAUAUUCACCGAACGACGCGCGCAGACUUAGCGAAAAAAAAAAGAACAAAAUAAAAGUGAGAAAAAUGAAAAAAAAAAAAUAAAUAAAGUGAAACAAAUAAAACGAAAACACACUUCCUGUUUGCUCAGCGGUUGUUGUCUCUUGGGAGUAUUCACCGAAACGCGAUUGCGAGAUAAAAUUGUUGUUCAGUGUGCGAAUGCUUGAACUAAUUAUCGUCAUUGUUAAACGCUUAACCGGCCGUGUCAUUCGUUUUUUGCGUCUGAAGGAUAUUUCUCAAUGUUUCUCAAUGAAUUCAACGUUCGAUUGUCUCUUUCGAUGAAACUUAGUGAAAUUGUAAUCGAUAAUCUGCGCGAGGCAUCUGUAUAAAAACGAAAACGGAAAAAAAAAUUAAUAAUUAUAUUUCCUGACAAUUUAACCAGCACUCUGUGAGUAAUCGAACAUGUUUGCAGGUAAAUGAGUACAUUUGUAAAUAGACGAAGAAGAAAAAAAGUAUAUAUACAUAUAUAUAUAUAUAAUUUGUGUUCCGUUGAUGCGACGUGGUAUUAAGCGAGUUGUAAUCGUUUAUUAGAAGUAAAACAUUUUUUCUGAAGGGGAAUGUUUUUCCAUUUACUGUUGAUGUCUGAGAGGAAUAAAACGGAAUUUCAAACUAUUCCAUUCGUCGAUAUCUAAGCACUGGUGAACUAUUUCGUGGUAAAAUUUCUUCCUACGCCAACGUGGAAAGUGCACAUAUUCCUAGAAACUCUACGCUAUGAUACUUGUCCAAAAACUGGCAACAUGUGCCAUUAACCUGAAGAAGCGAAUACAGCACUGUAAAUCCAAAGAAUUCUAUUUAUUCGAUAAGAAUUCCCUCGCAGUCACGUCCCUCCUUAAACUCGAAACGAAAUCCCUGCGCAACAUCCUAAUCGUACGCCAGAGUAUCGUUUUUUUAAAGAAACGAAGCUUAAAUGGCUCUGUGACGAUAUUAUAAGUUCGGUAAAAAAUAAAUAACGGUCGAUGACGUUGCAAUUCGUUUAGAAGUUUGCGGUCGGUUGAGCGUGGAGGUGUAUCAACGUUGUAACAGAGCGAAAGAGCGUCGAGAACAAUCAGAACAAUCAUGUUAGACGACACUGGCAGUGAGUGAUCGCGUAGAAGACACGGCAUAAAGGUGAAAACAUAGCUAACAGAAAUUAAUAUAAAGCAACACACGCUCGCUACUGACAAGGGCCAUCGCUCAGCCGUGGCACGCUGAUUUUUUCACGAGACUUAUCACGCGUGCACUUGGUGCUUCGUUUGAAACGGAACGGUCGAAUAUUUCAUGAAGAGAAGGAGCUAUCGUUAAAAUGUUUUUACACAAGCUUUUCCAGGCAACCCGCCAGGUGGACUGUAGCGUCGGUUAUCAGCUGUCAGACGCGAGAACGGUGCCCCUGACAGUAGGCAACCGGUGCUGCAUAUGGAAUAACUGGUUGCCGUCUGUUGGGCGCGAGAAGUGUGCCCCUGACAGUAGGCAACCAGUGCUGCAGAUGGAAUAACUGGUUGCCGUCUCUCAAGCCGGCGACUGACUUGCAACAGAACAUUGUAAUGUAACGCGAGCAUUCGCUUAGUUUGGACGGACCAGCGAGCGACGAACCGAGCCAUUCUUGCGCUCGGUUCGCACUCGACCGUGCUCCACUGGUCUGUCGGCUUUUGACGAACCUCUUUGAUCGUCUACUUUUCACCGAACCGAGUAGGAAGCAUCGAGAGAAAAUUCAGCCGAGAGUUCGAAGCGAGCAUUCGUGAUUCCAAAAAGGACCUUGUAAUGUAACGUUGGUGUCGAACCGUAAAAAUCGUGCCGGAGCAGUAACAUUCCAGCGUACUGUUGCAAGUCAGUCGGCGGCUUUAGGCGCGAGACGGGUGCCCCUGACAGUAGGCAAUCGGUGUUACAGACCGAAUAACGGGUUGCCGUCUCUUAGGCGCAGGGUGACGCCCCCGAUUACAGGCAACCGCUGCUACAUAUCGACUGACGGGUCGCCUUAACGAAUUUGUCUAAAAACAUGUUACCGAUAGCUUCUCUCCCACAAAAUAUUAAAUUAGGCACCCUCUAGAGCGUUAAAAAAUAUUUAAUAUUCAAUAGUUCGAUAUUUUCGAAUGGUCCAUCAGCAUGGAAAGCGUCAUAGUAAUCAGCGCGUCACCGGUGAGCGGCAUUAUUAGAACGCUGCACGGAUUCUUGAUAGCUUCUUUUUGAUACGACAUGUAGCAUUAAUUUCUCGAAGCCCGUACAGUGGGAACACUGCUCGUGUGAUUGUCACGUGGGUGAAUUGAGGUUAGGUGCGGGCAUUUUUAUCGUCGCCAGCUUCGAAGAUAUAUUUUUAGACGAGAUAUCUGUACAUACACGAAUACACACACACACACACACACACACACACACACACACAAAGAGACACUGAGAGCAUUCUGCGUUAAUACUUCGGCCUGUGCCCUUUUUUUCGAGACGGAACUCGGCUGUCUUUUUCAUGCUUCUUGAAUAAAUGUGCGAUGCUUGUUCCAUCAAAA